UACAGAGGUCUCAAGCGUUGUUCGGAUUCAUUGGGCGUAAAGGGCGCGUAGGCGGCCAGGCAAGUCGGGUGUGAAAGCUUGGGGCUUAACCCCGAAAGGGCACUCGAAACUGCGUUGCUAGAGGGCCGGAGAGGAGAUCGGAAUUCACGGUGUAGCAGUGAAAUGCGUAGAGCUCGUGAGGAAGACCGGUGGCGAAGGCGGAUCUCUGGACGGCCCCUGACGCUGAGGCGCGAAGGCUAGGGGAGCAAACGGG
RNAcentral lists this ribosomal RNA (253 nucleotides) under uncultured bacterium. RNAcentral's name for it is "partial 16S ribosomal RNA". It matches the Rfam family "Bacterial small subunit ribosomal RNA", at positions 524 to 776 of the family's 1533-position model. The record is from RNAcentral.